AGCUCCAAUAGCGUAUAUUAAAGUUGUUGCAGUUAAAAAGCUCGUAGUUGGAUUUCGGGGCCCCGGGCGUUCGUUGCGUUUCCUGCCGGCUUGUCUUGUGGGUGCGUGGCGGGCGUCGGUCUCUUAGUCGGAUCGGUCCGCCGAGAGGCGUGUACUGACCCACGGCCCCCGUUGUCUCUCGGGGUGCCCGCCCGCACCUUACUGUUUCGGGCGGGGGGGUUGGGGGGUGUUCCAAGCAGGCCGAUUGCUUUGAAUACAUUAGCAUGGAAUAAUGGAAUAGGGCUGCGUGACUCUUCGUCUUCGGGCGGGGGGUCCUCGUGUCCUAUUUUGUUGGUUUUCGGGACCGCAGUCAUGGUCAAGAGGGACAGUUGGGGGCAUUCGUAUUCAGUUGUCAGAGGUGAAAUUCUUGGAUUUACGGAAGACGAACAACUGCGAAAGCAUUUGCCAAGGAUGUUUUCA
This 459-nucleotide ribosomal RNA is filed under the name marine Metazoa environmental sample. RNAcentral's name for it is "partial small subunit ribosomal RNA". It matches the Rfam family "Eukaryotic small subunit ribosomal RNA", at positions 587 to 972 of the family's 1831-position model. Lineage: Eukaryota; Metazoa. The record is from RNAcentral.